This 436-nucleotide ribosomal RNA is filed under the name Acanthamoeba sp. MN-ISP145-T4. Its description in RNAcentral is "SSU rRNA". The stretch from base 1 to 370 matches the Rfam family "Eukaryotic small subunit ribosomal RNA", at positions 778 to 1116 of the family's 1831-position model. The record is from RNAcentral. Lineage: Eukaryota; Discosea; Longamoebia; Acanthamoebidae.
AUGCCGUCUCAUUUCAUUGCAGAUCCAUUUUCUGCCACCGAAUACAUUAGCAUGGGAUAAUGGAAUAGGACCCUGUCCUCCUAUUUUCAGUUGGUUUUGGCAGCGCGAGGACUAGGGUAAUGAUUAAUAGGGAUAGUUGGGGGCAUUAAUAUUUAAUUGUCAGAGGUGAAAUUCUUGGAUUUAUGAAAGAUUAACUUCUGCGAAAGCAUCUGCCAAGGAUGUUUUCAUUAAUCAAGAACGAAAGUUAGGGGAUCGAAGACGAUCAGAUACCGUCGUAGUCUUAACCAUAAACGAUGCCGACCAGCGAUUAGGAGACGUUGAAUACAAAACACCACCAUCGGUUGCGGUCGUCCUUGGCGUCUCGGUUUCGGCCGGGGCGCGGGGACGGUUUAGCCCGGUGGCACCGGUGAAUGACUCCCUAGCACUUUUGUGAGAA